AGUGAACGCUGGCGGUAGGCCUAACACAUGCAAGUCGAACGGCAGCACAGUAAGAGCUUGCUCUUACGGGUGGCGAGUGGCGGACGGGUGAGGAAUACAUCGGAAUCUACUUUUUCGUGGGGGAUAACGUAGGGAAACUUACGCUAAUACCGCAUACGACCUACGGGUGAAAGCAGGGGAUCUUCGGACCUUGCGCGAUUGAAUGAGCCGAUGUCGGAUGAGCUAGUUGGCGGGGUAAAGGCCCACCAAGGCGACGAUCCGUAGCUGGUCUGAGAGGAUGAGCAGGCACGCUGGAACUGAGACACGGUCCAGACUCCUACGGGAGGCAGCAGUGGGGAAUAUUGGACAAUGGGCGCAAGCCUGAUCCAGCCAUACCGCGUGGGUGAAGAAGGCCUUCGGGUUGUAAAGCCCUUUUGUUGGGAAAGAAAAGCAGCAGGUUAGUACGCCGCUGUUCUGACGGUACCCAAAGAAUAAGCACCGGCUAACUUCGUG
Molecule: ribosomal RNA, 492 nt
Filed under: uncultured bacterium
Lineage: Bacteria
Description: partial 16S ribosomal RNA
Rfam family: Bacterial small subunit ribosomal RNA
Source: RNAcentral